UUCUAAAUAGAGACCAGUAUGAACGGCUAAAUGAGGACAAACCUGUCUCUAAUAACUAAUCAGUGAAACUGAUCUUCCAGUACAAAAGCUGGAAUAUACACAUAAGACGAGAAGACCCCGUGGAGCUUAAAACAAAGUACUAACUAUAAAGCCCUAGUACCCUGUUUUGAGUUGGGGCGACUUCGGAAUAAAACAAAACUUCCGAGCACAGAACCACCAGUUCAAGCCAAGGCCAACAAGCCUAAGCACAAUACGGACCCGGCCCAUGCCGACCAACGAACCAAGUUACCCCGGGGAUAACAGCGCUAUCUUCUUCAAGAGUCCCUAUCAACAAGAAGGUUUACGACCUCGAUGUUGGAUCAGGACACCCAAAUGGUGCAGCCGCUAUUAAAGGUUCGUUUGUUCAACGAUUAAUAGUC
Molecule: ribosomal RNA, 419 nt
Filed under: Trachylepis maculilabris
Lineage: Eukaryota; Metazoa; Chordata; Lepidosauria; Squamata; Scincidae
Description: partial 16S ribosomal RNA
Rfam family: Bacterial large subunit ribosomal RNA
Source: RNAcentral